Long non-coding RNA from Papaver somniferum (opium poppy), 2559 nucleotides. RefSeq lists it as uncharacterized. Lineage: Eukaryota; Viridiplantae; Streptophyta; Magnoliopsida; Ranunculales; Papaveraceae. The transcript is spliced from 11 exons. The record is from RefSeq and is a predicted model, not a curated record.
UACAAACUAGACUCCAACUAACUAGAUGAAAAUUUUUGAACCCAGCAGUGUAUUUCCAUAAAGGAGAGAAAAACAAGGCGUUUUUCAUCUGCUCAUUCGAUCCUCCUCACUUCUCCCCCUUUUCAUUCUUUCUUCUCCGUUGUCCCUAUUGAUAUAUUUUUUUUCUAUUUUUUUUUUAUUUCGCAAGUAAAGGUUUAAGCACAAAGAAGUGUUUUUGCAAGUGAAGAUAUAUCCGUCUGAACCAUACUUUAAUUAGGGCGAGGGUUAAUCUCUCUGCAACAAUUGAUAGACGGGUUACAAAUGGAACCAUGAGCUUGAGGUCCGUAAACUACAUGAAGUAAAACCUCAAGUGUUGGUUUUACAGCAGGACUAUGAGGCUGUUCAUUCUGGAGCUAUUCUGCUUGAGGGUUUCUUAAGAACUAUCACUAUAAUGUCGAAAGACCUGUUGACCAGGCCUGCCGCAUGCGUGUAGUCACUCUUAAUAAUCCCAGGUCACAUAUGGCGCACAAAAUGUUUGUUCCUCGGUUAGCUGUCGAACUUUUAAGUAUAAAGUGUGUGUGCACUACCAAAUUAGAUUAAAAGAGUAUGUUACCACAUAGGUGUAGCAUUCGUGUUGUUAAUAUUUGAUCACAAUCUAGCUUAAGUCUGCCGGCCCUUAAGCAAACAUAACCGUACUCCAAAGCUAAUUUUUUUCAGAAACUGGGUUUGAUCUUUUUUGUGGGUUCUUCUGAUUUCUUUGAGAUGACGUAUUUAAACAGAAUUAAUUGCUGAGAAGGGUAAUAAUUAAGUGCAUGCUUUGGAAGAAUGAGAUUCACAUGAGUGUGGAGAUAAGUUACUUGAUGUGGAGAAAGAAUGAGUAUUUUUUUUUCAUCAUGAAUUUCCUACUGCGGUUUGCAGUUCUUAAAAUGGUUUGUUGUCCAUUAAAUGCAGCAAGACUGCCUAUCUCCCGAGAUCGUCCUCUCUUUUCUUUUGUUUGGCGUAAUUAGCUUCAUUGUGCUAUGUCCAAGAUUAUUAUUUUCAUAAUUGAGUCUUUAUAGUUUUUGUAUUCUACUUGAAAAUAUAUUAUUUCCACAUUACGAAUUUGAUUUUAGUCCAUCAUAUGUUUUGGUUUUGCUCUCAAGAUUUAUUGCAUCAGAUAUGAAAAUUUCUUUAUAAGAUUUCUACUGUUUUGACUUUGUAACUCAUGGGAUCUGUUCCUGUAAUCUUUCUACACAAAAUUUGAGUUCACAGGAUGCGGAAGAAAAAAAAUUAGAUCAUGUUUGCAACAAUGGGAGUAACUGUGGAAACAACACAAAUCUUCAAAAAGUGAUUUUUAAUGGAUGUAGAGAGUGACCCCUUUCUUAAACUUGUGGAUCAUUUUGGGAAAAAUGCUAGCAUUAGUGCUCGAAAAUGCAUAUAGUUCCAUGCCAGAAAGAAAAAAUAUUCCUAUAACAUGGAGUAGUAAGUCAUAUCCCGUGCGCGGAGAUCCAGAGACAGAUUUGGAAACAAAAAUGAACUGUACACUGAAAUUGUUUGUAGUUAAUGGAGUGGAGGAAAAUUGAGUUAUGAUCUUACUUAUCAUUAGCCUCAAUAUACUCCAGUUACUAAAUUAGGGGUCUUGACAACAUGCGUGUAAGAUAGGUGAUAUGUAUAGUUGAGGACCUGCUUCCUCUGUUUGGCAAUACACAUUGAACAUGUAAGAUAGUCACUCUUCAAGCUCAAAGAGAAUUUACUCUCCCAGCACGCAACGUAAAGAUAAAUUUCUCCUGCAACUCACAAAAGUACCUUAAAACAUUGAUGUAUGAUUAGAUACCACAAGAUACUUUCAGCAAUGAUCGUGAAAAACACUAGAGGAAUGCAAUCUGAGAUGACGUAUAUAAUACUUCCUCAGGUCAUGGUAACACGGACAAAGAACUGCUUUCCUCAAGUAGCUUAAUUAAUUUAAACAAAUGGACAUCAGCUUCUCUUCAACACUGUCAUAGAAGAGGGAUCUUACACCAAUUAAAAUCAUUGUACAUCUUUAACUUUCCUCGGUUGGAUCUCUUCCAGGUACUGGAUCCAUAGAUGCUGGAUAAGGGCAAUAUGUUGUACACAAUCCAACAAGAAGGAAAGCUCAGCAACAAAUAAAAAGAGGCGUCGUACAAUUGCAGUUCUCUUUAAUGUCAUAACUUCAGUUGGUUGGUCCUGGACCUGGAGUAUUCCGAUCUGAAGUUAACUGCGACCUCAAGGAUUAAGAGAACUUGAGUUAGGGUAUUUAUCAGUUUGAAAAAUUAUUCAUGAUUAGUGAAUCUCUACUUAUGCGUCUUUUUAUUCUUCCUUCUAUGUUCUGGAAUGCAUUACAUGAAGAACACACGCUCAAGAACUAAGUCACUCUGAAGAAAUGAAGUACUACUGAGUUCCAAAUUUACCAUGAGAUAACCUAGAACAAUGGGAUUCUUGGUUGUUCACCUGAUGGAAUCAAUGGUAUACGAAGAAAUUUUCACCAAAAUCUACAAUUUCUACAUAUAUUACUAUUCUUCUACCUUUUUCUUUACAAGUUAUCUUUUGUUCAUACAUGUACAUGUAUUCUUGGACAGAGGU